This 777-nucleotide ribosomal RNA is filed under the name uncultured Lactobacillales bacterium. RNAcentral describes it as "bacterial SSU rRNA". It matches the Rfam family "Bacterial small subunit ribosomal RNA", at positions 28 to 776 of the family's 1533-position model. Lineage: Bacteria; Bacillati; Bacillota; Bacilli; Lactobacillales. The record is from RNAcentral.
GACGAACGCUGGCGGCGUGCCUAAUACAUGCAAGUCGAACGCUUCUUUCCUCCCGAGUGCUUGCACUCGAUUGGAAAGAGGAGUGGCGGACGGGUGAGUAACACGUGGGUAACCUACCCAUCAGAGGGGGAUAACACUUGGAAACAGGUGCUAAUACCGCAUAACAGCUUAUGCCGCAUGGCAUAAGAGUGAAAGGCGCUUUCGGGUGUCGCUGAUGGAUGGACCCGCGGUGCAUUAGCUAGUUGGUGAGGUAACGGCUCACCAAGGCCACGAUGCAUAGCCGACCUGAGAGGGUGAUCGGCCACACUGGGACUGAGACACGGCCCAGACUCCUACGGGAGGCAGCAGUAGGGAAUCUUCGGCAAUGGACGAAAGUCUGACCGAGCAACGCCGCGUGAGUGAAGAAGGUUUUCGGAUCGUAAAACUCUGUUGUUAGAGAAGAACAAGGACGUUAGUAACUGAACGUCCCCUGACGGUAUCUAACCAGAAAGCCACGGCUAACUACGUGCCAGCAGCCGCGGUAAUACGUAGGUGGCAAGCGUUGUCCGGAUUUAUUGGGCGUAAAGCGAGCGCAGGCGGUUUCUUAAGUCUGAUGUGAAAGCCCCCGGCUCAACCGGGGAGGGUCAUUGGAAACUGGGAGACUUGAGUGCAGAAGAGGAGAGUGGAAUUCCAUGUGUAGCGGUGAAAUGCGUAGAUAUAUGGAGGAACACCAGUGGCGAAGGCGGCUCUCUGGUCUGUAACUGACGCUGAGGCUCGAAAGCGUGGGGAGCAAACAGG